This is a small nucleolar RNA of Humulus lupulus (European hop), 91 nucleotides long. Lineage: Eukaryota; Viridiplantae; Streptophyta; Magnoliopsida; Rosales; Cannabaceae. The record is from RefSeq and is a predicted model, not a curated record.
GUGGAGCUUGAUGAUUCUCACCCAAUAAAUGAGUAAUUUUUAACUGAAUUAUUCUUUGAUGUUUUAUCACCUUGGAGAACUGAGGCUUCUU